CGACCGACCUGGCCUCCAAAUAGGAGCCAA
RNAcentral lists this small RNA (30 nucleotides) under Bombyx mori (domestic silkworm). Its description in RNAcentral is "ovarian small RNA-993". Lineage: Eukaryota; Metazoa; Arthropoda; Insecta; Lepidoptera; Bombycidae. The record is from RNAcentral.